GGGUUGUGAGGUUAAGCGACUAAGCGUACACGGUGGAUGCCCUGGCAGUCAGAGGCGAUGAAGGACGUGCUAAUCUGCGAUAAGCGUCGGUAAGGUGAUAUGAACCGUUAUAACCGGCGAUUUCCGAAUGGGGAAACCCAGUGUGUUUCGACACACUAUCAUUAACUGAAUCCAUAGGUUAAUGAGGCGAACCGGGGGAACUGAAACAUCUAAGUACCCCGAGGAAAAGAAAUCAACCGAGAUUCCCCCAGUAGCGGCGAGCGAACGGGGAGGAGCCCAGAGCCUGAAUCAGUGUGUGUGUUAGUGGAAGCGUCUGGAAAGGCGCGCGAUACAGGGUGACAGCCCCGUACACAAAAAUGCACAUGCUGUGAGCUCGAUGAGUAGGGCGGGACACGUGGUAUCCUGUCUGAAUAUGGGGGGACCAUCCUCCAAGGCUAAAUACUCCUGACUGACCGAUAGUGAACCAGUACCGUGAGGGAAAGGCGAAAAGAACCCCGGCGAGGGGAGUGAAAAAGAACCUGAAACCGUGUACGUACAAGCAGUGGGAGCACGCUUAGGCGUGUGACUGCGUACCUUUUGUAUAAUGGGUCAGCGACUUAUAUUCUGUAGCAAGGUUAACCGAAUAGGGGAGCCGAAGGGAAACCGAGUCUUAACUGGGCGUUAAGUUGCAGGGUAUAGACCCGAAACCCGGUGAUCUAGCCAUGGGCAGGUUGAAGGUUGGGUAACACUAACUGGAGGACCGAACCGACUAAUGUUGAAAAAUUAGCGGAUGACUUGUGGCUGGGGGUGAAAGGCCAAUCAAACCGGGAGAUAGCUGGUUCUCCCCGAAAGCUAUUUAGGUAGCGCCUCGUGAAUUCAUCUCCGGGGGUAGAGCACUGUUUCGGCAAGGGGGUCAUCCCGACUUACCAACCCGAUGCAAACUGCGAAUACCGGAGAAUGUUAUCACGGGAGACACACGGCGGGUGCUAACGUCCGUCGUGAAGAGGGAAACAACCCAGACCGCCAGCUAAGGUCCCAAAGUCAUGGUUAAGUGGGAAACGAUGUGGGAAGGCCCAGACAGCCAGGAUGUUGGCUUAGAAGCAGCCAUCAUUUAAAGAAAGCGUAAUAGCUCACUGGUCGAGUCGGCCUGCGCGGAAGAUGUAACGGGGCUAAACCAUGCACCGAAGCUGCGGCAGCGACGCUUAUGCGUUGUUGGGUAGGGGAGCGUUCUGUAAGCCUGUGAAGGUGUACUGUGAGGUAUGCUGGAGGUAUCAGAAGUGCGAAUGCUGACAUAAGUAACGAUAAAGCGGGUGAAAAGCCCGCUCGCCGGAAGACCAAGGGUUCCUGUCCAACGUUAAUCGGGGCAGGGUGAGUCGACCCCUAAGGCGAGGCCGAAAGGCGUAGUCGAUGGGAAACAGGUUAAUAUUCCUGUACUUGGUGUUACUGCGAAGGGGGGACGGAGAAGGCUAUGUUGGCCGGGCGACGGUUGUCCCGGUUUAAGCGUGUAGGCUGGUUUUCCAGGCAAAUCCGGAAAAUCAAGGCUGAGGCGUGAUGACGAGGCACUACGGUGCUGAAGCAACAAAUGCCCUGCUUCCAGGAAAAGCCUCUAAGCAUCAGGUAACAUCAAAUCGUACCCCAAACCGACACAGGUGGUCAGGUAGAGAAUACCAAGGCGCUUGAGAGAACUCGGGUGAAGGAACUAGGCAAAAUGGUGCCGUAACUUCGGGAGAAGGCACGCUGAUAUGUAGGUGAAGUCCCUCGCGGAUGGAGCUGAAAUCAGUCGAAGAUACCAGCUGGCUGCAACUGUUUAUUAAAAACACAGCACUGUGCAAACACGAAAGUGGACGUAUACGGUGUGACGCCUGCCCGGUGCCGGAAGGUUAAUUGAUGGGGUUAGCGCAAGCGAAGCUCUUGAUCGAAGCCCCGGUAAACGGCGGCCGUAACUAUAACGGUCCUAAGGUAGCGAAAUUCCUUGUCGGGUAAGUUCCGACCUGCACGAAUGGCGUAAUGAUGGCCAGGCUGUCUCCACCCGAGACUCAGUGAAAUUGAACUCGCUGUGAAGAUGCAGUGUACCCGCGGCAAGACGGAAAGACCCCGUGAACCUUUACUAUAGCUUGACACUGAACAUUGAGCCUUGAUGUGUAGGAUAGGUGGGAGGCUUUGAAGUGUGGACGCCAGUCUGCAUGGAGCCGACCUUGAAAUACCACCCUUUAAUGUUUGAUGUUCUAACGUUGACCCGUAAUCCGGGUUGCGGACAGUGUCUGGUGGGUAGUUUGACUGGGGCGGUCUCCUCCUAAAGAGUAACGGAGGAGCACGAAGGUUGGCUAAUCCUGGUCGGACAUCAGGAGGUUAGUGCAAUGGCAUAAGCCAGCUUGACUGCGAGCGUGACGGCGCGAGCAGGUGCGAAAGCAGGUCAUAGUGAUCCGGUGGUUCUGAAUGGAAGGGCCAUCGCUCAACGGAUAAAAGGUACUCCGGGGAUAACAGGCUGAUACCGCCCAAGAGUUCAUAUCGACGGCGGUGUUUGGCACCUCGAUGUCGGCUCAUCACAUCCUGGGGCUGAAGUAGGUCCCAAGGGUAUGGCUGUUCGCCAUUUAAAGUGGUACGCGAGCUGGGUUUAGAACGUCGUGAGACAGUUCGGUCCCUAUCUGCCGUGGGCGCUGGAGAACUGAGGGGGGCUGCUCCUAGUACGAGAGGACCGGAGUGGACGCAUCACUGGUGUUCGGGUUGUCAUGCCAAUGGCACUGCCCGGUAGCUAAAUGCGGAAGAGAUAAGUGCUGAAAGCAUCUAAGCACGAAACUUGCCCCGAGAUGAGUUCUCCCUGACCCUUUAAGGGUCCUGAAGGAACGUUGAAGACGACGACGUUGAUAGGCCGGGUGUGUAAGCGCAGCGAUGCGUUGAGCUAACCGGUACUAAUGAACCGUGAGGCUUAACCUUACAACGCCGAAGGUGUUU
Molecule: ribosomal RNA, 2931 nt
Filed under: Escherichia coli O91 str. RM7190
Lineage: Bacteria; Pseudomonadati; Pseudomonadota; Gammaproteobacteria; Enterobacterales; Enterobacteriaceae
Also listed under: 1 other name
Description: bacterial LSU rRNA
Rfam family: Bacterial large subunit ribosomal RNA
Source: RNAcentral